GGAAUUCAGCUCAGUGGUAGGACAUCUGCUUUGCAUGCAGAAGGUCUCAGGUUCAGUCCCUGGUAUCUCCA
Podarcis lilfordi (Lilford's wall lizard) is the source of this 71-nucleotide non-coding RNA. The record is from the annotation of a GenBank genome assembly. Lineage: Eukaryota; Metazoa; Chordata; Lepidosauria; Squamata; Lacertidae.